AAGUCGUAACAAGGUUUCCGUAGGUGAACCUGCGGAAGGAUCAUUAUCGAAAAGCAAUCCGGGGGGGAGGCGACCGAGCGAAGUUUGGUAGAUCGUAGGGAUUGUCGCUGGCCUUUGGAAACGAAGGCAUGUGCACGUUCCGAGUUCUCCUUAGUCCUCCUUUGCCUUUCCUUUGGAAAACCCUUUCUUCACACCCGUGCACCCAUUGUAGGUCUCCGCGAGGGGAUCUAUGUCUUCACAUAAACACUACGUAUGUCUAGGAAUGUAUCUAAAAGCGUCGGACGGCUUGGCUUCGUGCCC
RNAcentral lists this unclassified non-coding RNA (300 nucleotides) under Paxillus sp. (in: basidiomycete fungi). Its description in RNAcentral is "Paxillus sp. partial contains small subunit ribosomal RNA and internal transcribed spacer 1". The stretch from base 1 to 46 matches the Rfam family "Eukaryotic small subunit ribosomal RNA", at positions 1786 to 1831 of the family's 1831-position model. The record is from RNAcentral. Lineage: Eukaryota; Fungi; Basidiomycota; Agaricomycetes; Boletales; Paxillaceae.